CAAUCAUGAGCGUCACUCGGCAGCCGGGAGGGGCGGGAUGGAACCCGCGUUCGGGCGGGCUGCCGGGGUGAGUGUGAGUGUGAGAGUGAGAACAGCCCGGCAGGUCCCGAGGCGCUGGCUGGGGACUCUGCCGCGGAAAGUUCCCAGUCCCCAGCCGCAGGACGGCCCCUCGCGGCUUCCUGGUAAUGAAUGACCCGAGGGUAACACCAACACAACCUUCGAGAAAAGGCGGACCAUUUCCCCAAGCCCGAGAUCUGCAGGACUGAAAUGAAAUAUUUUGAGCUCUUCUAGCUGACUCAUCAGAAUCCUGGAGCAUUUUUUAAAAUGACGAGUGAAUAGACUAUAAGCAGCCAUCUCUUUCUCAUGCAGACCAGCCUGAAAUGGAAAUUGUAGGUUUUAAUGAUUGAAAAUGGAAAUUGAUAGAACACACGUGCCCAAGAGAAAUGCAUCUCCACUUCCUCCAGUCCUGAAAGAUAGGAUGUUGAUCAGCGGUCCCAGAAGCAUUGGCUUGAUUUCUCAGAGUUUGUUAAAAGCUAGGGGAAAAAAAAAAAAAAAGUGUAAUCACUCUAUACAGUGCAAAUAUCUGUGUUUAUUUUGUAUAUAUUUCUGGUCUUUAAAAGGGAAAUUCUGUUUCAACUAUCAUUUGAUACUAACUUCUUCAAUGUUGCUCAGAAAAGAUUGUUUUAAUUUGAAAUUUCAAAGUUAAACAAAUUUAUUUGACCAUCUUGUGCCGGCAGAAAAUGGAAAGAAACAACUUUAAAAUGCUCUUAAAUGCAGAAAGAAAUAAUCAAAGGAAGAUGAUUUGGAAUCUUAUAUACCUACUGUAAGUAAAAUAUGUAUUAUUAUUUUGAUAAUAAGUACUGACAGAGGAACAAUAUUGUGUUUCUUUUAGAAGAGUACUUGGUAAUUCAGGGUAUGUGUAUUGGAUGCCCUACAGGGUAGGUUCUAUAAGUGACUCAUUUCUAAAGGCACCCAACUAUGGCAGACAAUGAUACAGUAAAUUAUGAAGAACAUAAACUUGAGAAUUAAGCCAAAUUGUGCUCAAAUCCCUGCUUCUCAAAAUAUGUGAACUUGGGCACACUACUUAACUUCUUUGAAACUCUGUCAAAGUGUGUCAAACAUGCUGAACAUCUGUUAAAAUAUGAUGAUAUAUUGACCUUGUGGAGUCAUUGUGAGGCUUACCUGAAAUGUUAUAUGUAAAAUUCUUGGCCUGUAGUAGACUCUCAGUCAGUGUUAAAUAUUUUGAUAGCCAGAUGUUUUGAAUGAGGUAUCCUGAAAUAAGAUAAUUAUGGAGAAUAAUUGGCAUUGAUUUUCCUAGUGGUUUUAUUUCCUUCAUGAAACACAACCUAAAGAAUUUACUUUGAGGUGCAAAAACAGUUUAACAUUGCUCCUAUUUUACGGAAAUUAUAAUAUAAUUUUGAAGACUGGAUGCAAAUAAUGAAUGAAGAAGACUAAACUAACAAAAUUUUAAUUAGGCAUCAAGACAUAAAAAUCAAUAAUGACCUUAAUUUCAUAAUCAUGUUUUAUAUUGAAACUUUUAUUUACUUUUUUCCAAAUAAGUUUACAUUUUCUAUAAGCUUUAAUUUAUAUGAUAAUACUAAUAUGUAGAUCGAUUUUUAAAAUCAUCUUGAUAAGAACAUGGCUCUUUCGUUGCAAAAAUAUUUUUCUUCUAUAUUUGUCGCAAUUUUAGGAUUAAAGUACUCUUACUUGAUAGAUUUGCUUAUCUUUCUUCCAGUUCCUUGAUGUAAAGCCUUAAUACCUUCUACUCUAUCCAUGCCGUUGAGUACUAAAAUUCUCAAAAUUAAAAACAAAUUAGUGAAAAUCAGUGACUGAAAAUAGAAUGAGUUUAUUAGAAUGACCAAUUCUGAGUGUCAAGCCUCAAUUGUAUUUGACUUUCUCUUUAGCAUUCUCCUCCUUGCAAUUUCUCUGCCUAGUUUUGCUGUUAGUAUUCUCUUCAGUAGCUUCUUAUAAAUUUAGAAGCAAAAGCAUGCACUGGUGCUGUUAUGAUAGGAGCACAGCCAUAGGAAUACUGAAAUAAUAGGGAAAAAAAAUGUAGGGGGAGCCUGGGUGGCUCAGUCGGUUAAACAUCUGGCUUGGGCUCAGGUCAUGAU
This is a long non-coding RNA of Leopardus geoffroyi (Geoffroy's cat), 2111 nucleotides long. RefSeq lists it as uncharacterized. The transcript has 4 exons. The record is from RefSeq and is a predicted model, not a curated record. NCBI's taxonomy places the organism in Eukaryota, Metazoa, Chordata, Mammalia, Carnivora, Felidae.